AAGGCGCGAAAGCGUGGGGAGCAAACAGGAUUAGAUACCCUGGUAGUCCACGCCCUAAACGAUGUAUGCUAGUUGUUGGGAUGCUAGUCAUCUCAGUAAUGCAGCUAACGCAUUAAGCAUACCGCCUGGGGAGUACGGUCGCAAGAUUAAAACUCAAAGGAAUAGACGGGGACCCGCACAAGCGGUGGAGCAUGUGGUUUAAUUCGAAGAUACGCGAAGAACCUUACCUGGGCUUGAUAUCCUAAGAACCUUAUAGAGAUAUGAGGGUGCUAGCUUGCUAGAACUUAGAGACAGGUGCUGCACGGCUGUCGUCAGCUCGUGUCGUGAGAUGUUGGGUUAAGUCCCGCAACGAGCGCAACCCACGUAUUUAGUUGCUAACGGUUCGGCCGAGCACUCUAAAUAGACUGCCUUCGUAAGGAGGAGGAAGGUGUGGACGACGUCAAGUCAUCAUGGCCCUUAUGCCCAGGGCGACACACGUGCUACAAUGGCAUAUACAAUGAGACGCAAUACCGCGAGGUGGAGCAAAUCUAUAAAAUAUGUCCCAGUUCGGAUUGUUCUCUGCAACUCGAGAGCAUGAAGCCGGAAUCGCUAGUAAUCGUAGAUCAGCCAUGCUACGGUGAAUACGUUCCCGGGUCUUGUACUCACCGCCCGUCACACCAUGGGAGUUGAUUUCACUCGAAGCCGGAAUACUAAACUAGUUACCGUCCACAGUGGAAUCAGCGACUGGGGUGAAGUCGUAACAAGGUAACCGUAGGAGAACCUGCGGUUGGAUCACCUCCUUUCUA
Molecule: ribosomal RNA, 785 nt
Filed under: Campylobacter jejuni
Lineage: Bacteria; Pseudomonadati; Campylobacterota; Epsilonproteobacteria; Campylobacterales; Campylobacteraceae
Description: bacterial SSU rRNA
Rfam family: Bacterial small subunit ribosomal RNA
Source: RNAcentral